CGGCUGGAUGCAAGGAUUUAUUUUGCUCUCUCACUGCAGACCUCUGUUAGCCACUCAGAGAUAGAAGUGACCAGAUAAUCGGUUUCGUCUUCUGUGCUACCAAGGCAGAAAAUACCAAGCUGGAAUUUUGGACUCCACUCACACGGAGGCCACCCUGUCUCUGCAAUAACAACCUUCAUCUCCUCAUGAGGACAGAGUCCCCACAACCCAGUGGCUUCCUGAAGUUCCCUGCUCACCACACUGGCAAGUGGAAUUCCGUUUCAGCCCCCGAACUCAGCGGCAUCUCGUGUUUUCUUUCAAGAAACUCUGUGUGAGGCGGGACAGUGUAAACAGGAUCUUCUCAGGGAAUCGCCUGCCCAGCAGACAUAUUUUCUGGCUAUGAAAACAAAUUGGAAAAAAAAAACUAAAUAAAUAUAAGUCUUUGAAUUGUUGCGUUUUUGAUAGAGUAAAGAGCCAAAACAUUUAUUUAAUAACCCACCCCACUGAAGGAACCACAGGAUGCCAAAGGAACAUAGGCUUGGGGCUGUCUGAAGAAAGCAAGCCCUGACCCCAAAUUCUUCUUCCUAAUACGCAAAUGAACUCACCAACAACUUUUUGCUGCUUCUCAACGCCUGAGAUUUCCCAGCAUGCCUUGCCACAGGAGAAGCCACCACUGGAUCUCAGUCCUCUGAUU
Molecule: long non-coding RNA, 673 nt
Filed under: Mus caroli (Ryukyu mouse)
Lineage: Eukaryota; Metazoa; Chordata; Mammalia; Rodentia; Muridae
Description: predicted gene 43100 (MGP_CAROLIEiJ_G0006067.1)
Source: RNAcentral